Molecule: transfer RNA, 74 nt
Filed under: Blautia producta
Lineage: Bacteria; Bacillati; Bacillota; Clostridia; Lachnospirales; Lachnospiraceae
Also listed under: 2 other names
Description: tRNA-Met
Rfam family: tRNA
About the family: Transfer RNA (tRNA) molecules are approximately 80 nucleotides in length. Their secondary structure includes four short double-helical elements and three loops (D, anti-codon, and T loops).
Source: RNAcentral
GGGCUUUUAGCUCAGCAGGUUAGAGCAAUCGGCUCAUAACCGAUCGGUCCCAGGUUCGAACCCUGGAAAGCCCA